This 383-nucleotide ribosomal RNA is filed under the name uncultured bacterium. Its description in RNAcentral is "bacterial SSU rRNA". It matches the Rfam family "Bacterial small subunit ribosomal RNA", at positions 28 to 412 of the family's 1533-position model. The record is from RNAcentral.
GACGAACGCUGGCGGCGUGCUUAACACAUGCAAGUCGAGCGGUAAGGCCCUUUCGGGGGUACACGAGUGGCGAACGGGUGAGUAACACGUGGGUGACCUGCCUUUAGCUCUGGGAUAAGCCUGGGAAACCGGGUCUAAUACCGGAUAUGACUCCGCGGCGCAUGUUGUGGGGUGGAAAGCCUUGUGCGGCUGGAGAUGGGCCCGCGGCCUAUCAGCUUGUUGGUGGGGUGAUGGCCUACCAAGGCGACGACGGGUAGCCGGCCUGAGAGGGCGACCGGCCACACUGGGACUGAGGCACGGCCCAGACUCCUACGGGAGGCAGCAGUGGGGAAUCUUGCGCAAUGCGCGAAAGCGUGACGCAGCAACGCCGCGUGGGGGAAGAC